This 910-nucleotide ribosomal RNA is filed under the name Tissierella sp. Its description in RNAcentral is "bacterial SSU rRNA". It matches the Rfam family "Bacterial small subunit ribosomal RNA", at positions 67 to 983 of the family's 1533-position model. The record is from RNAcentral. Lineage: Bacteria; Bacillati; Bacillota; Tissierellia; Tissierellales; Tissierellaceae.
UUUUAAAAGAAGAUUUCUUCGGAUUGACUCUUUUAUUAUCUUAGCGGCGGACGGGUGAGUAACGCGUGAGAAACCUGCCUUUCACAAAGGGAUAGCCUCGGGAAACUGGGAUUAAUACCUUAUGAUACUUUUAGAUAGCAUUAUUUAAAAGUCAAAGCGUAAAGCGGUGAAAGAUGGUCUCGCGUCCCAUUAGCUAGUUGGUGAGAUAAAAGCUCACCAAGGCAACGAUGGGUAACCGGCCUGAGAGGGUGAACGGUCACACUGGAACUGAGACACGGUCCAGACUCCUACGGGAGGCAGCAGUGGGGAAUAUUGCACAAUGGAGGAAACUCUGAUGCAGCGACGCCGCGUGAACGAUGAAGGCUUUCGAGUCGUAAAGUUCUGUCCUAGGGGACGAUAAUGACGGUACCCUAGGAGGAAGCCCCGGCUAAUUACGUGCCAGCAGCCGCGGUAAUACGUAAGGGGCGAGCGUUGUCCGGAAUUAUUGGGCGUAAAGGGUUCGCAGGCGGCCUUUUAAGUCAGAUGUGAAAUCUCACGGCUUAACCGUGGUAAGCAUUUGAAACUGGAAGGCUUGAGUUAAGGAGAGGAAAGUGGAAUUCCUAGUGUAGCGGUGAAAUGCGUAGAUAUUAGGAAGAAUACCAGUGGCGAAGGCGACUUUCUGGACUUAUACUGACGCUGAGGAACGAAAGCAUGGGGAGCAAACAGGAUUAGAUACCCUGGUAGUCCAUGCCGUAAACGAUGAGUGCUAGGUGUUGGGGGUCAAACCUCGGUGCCGCAGCUAACGCAUUAAGCACUCCGCCUGGGGAGUACGUACGCAAGUAUGAAACUCAAAGGAAUUGACGGGGACCCGCACAAGCAGCGGAGCAUGUGGUUUAAUUCGAAGCAACGCGAAGAACCUUACCAGGGCUUG